GACGAACGCUGGCGGCGUGCUUAACACAUGCAAGUCGAACGGAAAGGCCCUGCUUUUGUGGGGUGCUCGAGUGGCGAACGGGUGAGUAACACGUGAGUAACCUGCCCUUGACUUUAGGAUAACUUCAGGAAACUGGGGCUAAUACCGGAUAGGAGCUCCUGCUGCAUGGUGGGGGUUGGAAAGUUUCGGCGGUUGGGGAUGGACUCGCGGCUUAUCAGCUUGUUGGUGGGGUAGUGGCUUACCAAGGCUUUGACGGGUAGCCGGCCUGAGAGGGUGACCGGCCAAAUGGGGACUGAGAUACGGCCCAGACUCCUACGGGAGGCAGGGGGGGGGAAUUUUGCACAAUGGGGGGAAGCCUGAUGCAGCAACGCCGCGUGCGGGAUGACGGCCUUCGGGUUGUAAACCGCUUUCGCCUGUGACGAAGCGUGAGGGACGGUAAUUGGUAAAGAAGCACCGGCUAACUACGU
RNAcentral lists this ribosomal RNA (467 nucleotides) under uncultured bacterium. Its description in RNAcentral is "partial 16S ribosomal RNA". It matches the Rfam family "Bacterial small subunit ribosomal RNA", at positions 28 to 506 of the family's 1533-position model. The record is from RNAcentral.